RNAcentral lists this long non-coding RNA (70 nucleotides) under Fukomys damarensis (Damara mole-rat). RNAcentral's name for it is "lncRNA (ENSFDAG00000030151.1)". The record is from RNAcentral. Lineage: Eukaryota; Metazoa; Chordata; Mammalia; Rodentia; Bathyergidae.
GCACUGCAGAUGAGAGUUGCUGGUGUGAGGACAUGGCACAAGGAGAGAAGGGACCGAGUCUCCCCCGGGG